AUUGAACGCUGGCGGCAGGCUUAACACAUGCAAGUCGAGCGGGGUGAUGGUGCUUGCACUAUCACUUAGCGGCGGACGGGUGAGUAAUGCUUAAGAAUCUGCCUAUUAGUGGGGGACAACAUCUCGAAAGGGAUGCUAAUACCGCAUACGUCCUACGGGAGAAAGCAGGGGAUCACUUGUGACCUUGCGCUAAUAGAUGAGCCUAAGUCGGAUUAGCUAGUUGGUGGGGUAAAGGCCUACCAAGGCGACGAUCUGUAGCGGGUCUGAGAGGAUGGUCCGCGACACUGGGAAUUGGACACGGGCCAGACUCCUACCGGAGGCAGCAGUGGGGAAUAUUGGAAAAUGGGGGGAACCCUGAUACAGCCAUGCCGCGUGUGUGAAGAAAGCCUUAUGGUUAUAAAGCACUUUAAGCGAGGAGGAGGCUAUUUUGGUUAAUACCCAAGAUGAGUGGACGUUACUCGCAGAAUAAGCACCGGCUAACUCUGUGCCAGCCGCCGCGGUAA
Molecule: ribosomal RNA, 503 nt
Filed under: uncultured bacterium
Lineage: Bacteria
Description: partial 16S ribosomal RNA
Rfam family: Bacterial small subunit ribosomal RNA
Source: RNAcentral